UUUNGAUCAUGGACUCAGAUUGCNCGCUGGCUGCAGGCUUAACACAUGCAAGUCGAGCGGGGAAGGGUAGCUUGCUACCUGACCUAGCGGCGAGACGGGUAGAGUAAUNGCUUANGAAUCUGCCUAUUAGUGGGGGACAACAUCUCGAAAGGGAUGCUAAUACCGCAUACAGUCCUACGCGGAGAAAGCAAGGGGAUCUAUCGAGACCUUGCGCUAAUAGAUGAGCCUAACGUCGUGAUUAGACUAGUUGGUGGGGAUAAACAGGCCUAACCAAGGGCGACAGAUCAUUGUAC
Molecule: ribosomal RNA, 293 nt
Filed under: uncultured bacterium
Lineage: Bacteria
Description: partial 16S ribosomal RNA
Rfam family: Bacterial small subunit ribosomal RNA
Source: RNAcentral